This 444-nucleotide ribosomal RNA is filed under the name uncultured bacterium. Its description in RNAcentral is "bacterial SSU rRNA". It matches the Rfam family "Bacterial small subunit ribosomal RNA", at positions 331 to 792 of the family's 1533-position model. The record is from RNAcentral.
CCAGACUCCUACGGGAGGCAGCAGUCGAGAAUCAUUCACAAUGGGGGAAACCCUGAUGCAGCGACGCCGCGUGGGUGAAGAAGCGCCUCGGCGCGUAAAGCCCUGUCAGCAGGGAAGAAAAUGACGGUACCUGAAGAAGAAGCCCCGGCUGACUACGUGCCAGCAGCCGCGGUAAUACGUAGGGGGCAAGCGUUAUCCGGAUUUACUGGGUGUAAAGGGAGCGUAGACGGCAGCACAAGUCUGGAGUGAAAUCCCGGGGCUUAACCCCGGAACUGCUUUGGAAACUGUGCGGCUGGAGUGCAGGAGGGGUAAGCGGAAUUCCUAGUGUAGCGGUGAAAUGCGUAGAUAUUAGGAGGAACACCGGUGGCGAAGGCGGCUUACUGGACUGUAACUGACGUUGAGGCUCGAAAGCGUGGGGAGCAAACAGGAUUAGAUACCCUUGUA